CUGAUUUCACGUCCUCAUGUAGUGCAGUGGAAAUGAAUAUUUAAAGGUAUGGAGUCACAAAACUGAGGGACACAAGGAAGACAUCAGCAUUCGAGGCCUGGCUGCCCCACGCUGCUCGGCAAGGAAAUCAAAGACAACUAGAAAGCUGUUUUCACAACAUCUGAGUCCUCUUCAGACGUCACUGCGCCAGAGACAGUACAACGGCAUCAUCCUUCCUGGCUCACGGCAUGAAGGGGUUAAGAGGCAGACCGCGCUCAGACGCCCACCACCCCACACUCGCAGCUCCCAGGCUGGGAGCCUCCCCACCCUUCCCCACUCUUCCCAGAGAGCAGGGCUCCUUCUCCACAGAUGCUGGCAG
Molecule: long non-coding RNA, 358 nt
Filed under: Heterocephalus glaber (naked mole-rat)
Lineage: Eukaryota; Metazoa; Chordata; Mammalia; Rodentia; Bathyergidae
Description: lncRNA (ENSHGLG00100050631.1)
Source: RNAcentral